Molecule: ribosomal RNA, 373 nt
Filed under: uncultured bacterium
Lineage: Bacteria
Description: bacterial SSU rRNA
Rfam family: Bacterial small subunit ribosomal RNA
Source: RNAcentral
ACGUAGGGUGCGAGCGUUAAUCGGAAUUACUGGGCGUAAAGCGUGCGCAGGCGGUUUGAUAAGCCAGAUGUGAAAUCCCCGGGCUUAACCUGGGAACUGCAUUUGGAACUGUCAGACUAGAGUAUAGCAGAGGGGGGUAGAAUUCCACGUGUAGCAGUGAAAUGCGUAGAGAUGUGGAGGAAUACCAAUGGCGAAGGCAGCCCCCUGGGUUAAUACUGACGCUCAUGCACGAAAGCGUGGGGAGCAAACAGGAUUAGAUACCCUGGUAGUCCACGCCCUAAACGAUGUCAACUAGGUGUUGGGGAAGGAGACUUCUUUAGUACCGCAGCUAACGCGUGAAGUUGACCGCCUGGGGAGUACGGUCGCAAGAUUA